RNAcentral lists this long non-coding RNA (534 nucleotides) under Ixodes scapularis (black-legged tick). RNAcentral's name for it is "uncharacterized LOC121833954". Lineage: Eukaryota; Metazoa; Arthropoda; Arachnida; Ixodida; Ixodidae. The record is from RNAcentral.
CCUAGCCUUCAAAUUUCUUGCGUUUGCUCUGAUCAAGCUUUUGCGCAAACAGUUUUUUUCCAGUGUAUCGUUCAACAAAAAGUUACAGCUGUUUUGUACUGAGCUGGUUACAGGAACUAAUGCCAUUUGUAAAUAUCUCUUACAGCCGAGUUGUUUGAAGUCAUCACAGAUAUAAACUGCUUGUUGCAGCAACUCACAAUCACAUUCCUGCCCGUCAUGUCGAACAGCGGAGCGCUAAUUUCAGUUUGAGGUCUGCACUCUUACUACAAUGCAAAUGGUGACAGCAUCAGGCUGCACUCGGCUGACCCAUAAAUUUGCCCCUGCUCUGCAUUGCCCUGCAUGUUCGGGUCAGAUAUUGGUUCCUGUUGACCUGAUGGACUCCUUUGUUCUCUGCAUUCAUCAUAGGUUACAGUCGUGAAUCAUGGACGAAGACUGCACUCUUAGGCCCACUCCUUUUUGGUGGAUCGGGUCUUGCCAUCUUCACCUUUCGUGGCUUCCUGUCGUAAUUAAAUAAAUUGUCAUAUUUUUUUCUGA